Scatophagus argus is the source of this 948-nucleotide long non-coding RNA. RefSeq lists it as uncharacterized. NCBI's taxonomy places the organism in Eukaryota, Metazoa, Chordata, Actinopteri, Scatophagidae. The transcript is spliced from 3 exons. The record is from RefSeq and is a predicted model, not a curated record.
UUUACUUGUUUGUACUUUGUUUGUUAUUGUUGUUUUUCUUCUUGCAUGCACUCUUAACGACGUUUCGACUUGUGUUUUGUCUUCUUCAGGUUGUACAUGCAAGGAACCCCCCCAUGGCACCCCCUGUUCCAUCCUUCAGCUUCGACAGUACCGGACCAACUGCAGCAGGUUGUACAUGCAAGGAACCCCCCCAUGGCACCCCCUGUUCCAUCCUUCAGCUUCGACAGUACCGGACCAACUGCAGCAGGUAAGUAUAUUUCUUUCCUUUAUAUAGGCUUUUCUGUUUUUAGUUUUUCGUUAUCGUUAAUUUACGUUUUCCUUUUAAUUUAAGUUCGCUUCGCUGGGGUUUGGGGUAGGGUUAGGGUUAGGGUUAGGGUUGAGGAAAGGGACACGGUUCCAGGUAAGUAGCUUAGCUUAGCUUAAAUUCUAGGGGGACUGGGACAGUGGCCGAAUCCCGAGGAGGCACUGGCUGGUUAGGAUGAAGGUAAGAGCUGCCUCCCUCCUGGGAGACAGAAGUGCACUGUCCAUCACAAGGGGACGACCAGUGUCCCAGCCCCCUCCUAUGUUUAGGUUCGCCUUUGUUAUAUGAAGUAUAAACUAUCUUGUCUUUUCUUGCUUUCCUUGUUUGGUCUUUCUCAUCACCUUUCUUUUCUUUCCCUUACUUUCCUUUAAUGUCUCGAAUUUGAGCUUGAUAUCUUAAUUUAGAAUUUGUGUUAGUCUUUUCUUGACUUUGUUUACUUGUUUGUACUUUGUUUGUUAUUGUUGUUUUUCUUCUUGCAUGCACUCUUAACGACGUUUCGACUUGUGUUUUGUCUUCUUCAGGUUGUACAUGCAAGGAACCCCCCCAUGGCACCCCCUGUUCCAUCCUUCAGCUUCGACAGUACCGGACCAACUGCAGCAGGUUGUACAUGCAAGGAACCCCCCCAUGGCACCCCCUGUUCCAUCCUU